AUGAACGCUGGCGGCGUGCCUAAUACCUGCAAGUCGAGCGAACAGACGAGGAGCUUGCUCCUCUGACGUUAGCGGCGGACGGGUGAGUAACACGUGGGUAACCUACCUAUAAGACUGGGAUAACUUCGGGAAACCGGAGCUAAUACCGGAUAAUAUAUUGAACCGCAUGGUUCAAUAGUGAAAGACGGUUUUGCUGUCACUUAUAGAUGGAUCCGCGCCGCAUUAGCUAGUUGGUAAGGUAACGGCUUACCAAGGCAACGAUGCGUAGCCGACCUGAGAGGGUGAUCGGCCACACUGGAACUGAGACACGGUCCAGACUCCUACGGGAGGCAGCAGUAGGGAAUCUUCCGCAAAGGGCGAAAGCCUGACGGAGCAACGCCGCGUGAGUGAUGAAGGUCUUCGGAUCGUAAAACUCUGUUAUUAGGGAAGAACAAAUGUGUAAGUAACUAUGCACGUCUUGACGGUACCUAAUCAGAAAGCCACGGCUAACUACGUG
RNAcentral lists this ribosomal RNA (496 nucleotides) under uncultured bacterium. RNAcentral's name for it is "partial 16S ribosomal RNA". It matches the Rfam family "Bacterial small subunit ribosomal RNA", at positions 29 to 507 of the family's 1533-position model. The record is from RNAcentral.